AUGGUACUUUCUUCCUGCUCUUUAACAUGGACUUCACCCUCUUUAUCCCAUAAGCUAAACUUGCCACAUUCAAAUCGUUUGCUUCGAAAUACUUCAACUUCAUCUUCCAACAAUGUCUCUUGUGCAAUGGAAACAUCUUCGAGUUCAGAAAGUAAGAGCCUGAGAAGACCUCUAUUGUUGGGUAUAGGAGCAUUAGCAGCAAAUUUGCAACCAACAAAAUUACUCUUUGCUGAUGAUAUAGAGCUUUUGUCGACUUUACAGACGGAUAUUCGUACGUUUAUCCCUCGGAUUGGAAAGAAUUUGACUUCACAGCUCAUGAUUCUGCAUUCAAAGAUAGGUAUUUGCAGUUACAAAAUGUAA
RNAcentral lists this long non-coding RNA (360 nucleotides) under Vicia faba (fava bean). Lineage: Eukaryota; Viridiplantae; Streptophyta; Magnoliopsida; Fabales; Fabaceae. The record is from RNAcentral.